GGUGUAGGUGGCUCGAUUAGUCAGAAGUGAAAGCCCUGGGCUCAACCCAGGAAGUGCUUUUGAUACUGUCGAGCUUGAGUGUGGGAGAGGUAAGUGGAAUUCCUGGUGUAGUGGUGAAAUACGUAGAUAUCAGGAGGAACAUCGGUGGAGAAGUCGGCUUACUGGCCCAACACUGACACUCAGACCCGAAAGCGUGGGGAGCAAACAAGAUUAGAUACCCUGGUAGUCC
Molecule: ribosomal RNA, 229 nt
Filed under: uncultured bacterium
Lineage: Bacteria
Description: partial 16S ribosomal RNA
Rfam family: Bacterial small subunit ribosomal RNA
Source: RNAcentral